GGUUCCAUGGUCUAGCUGGUUUAUGACUUCUGUCUAACAAUGCUGUCAAAUUUCCUAUGGAGUUGGACGUAAUUGGUUCACAGGCGGUCCCCGGUUCGAGCCCGGGUGGAAUCA
Mycena filopes is the source of this 114-nucleotide non-coding RNA. NCBI's taxonomy places the organism in Eukaryota, Fungi, Basidiomycota, Agaricomycetes, Agaricales, Mycenaceae. The record is from the annotation of a GenBank genome assembly.